UUUCAGAGCGCUCAAGGACACCUUACAAGACACAGUUAAAAACAACAACAAGCAGCACUUUGUCCAUAGAUCAUCAAAUCAAACAAUUCUGUAAGAUACAAUAAAAGUUAAUAAAAUGACCAGACGGAAAUGGUUAUGAUAAAAAUGAGGUAUGAAAUCUUCAUCAUGAAGUCAUCAUCAAUGCAGGUCACCAUAUGUGUGUCUCCAUUAAAUUAGAGCCAAUAUGGCAGCUUGAAAAGGUGUGUUUACAGACGGGGUUUGAAAGUGGGAGGAGUCAAGAUUGUGACUGUGGUGGGAAUGUAUUCGUAGUAGUAAAAUAAAUGUCAUUGCAUUACAUGAGGCGGAAGGUUAUCUGUGGAAGAUUACUGCAACAAUUUUAUCACACAAAACAAAAUUCCAUGUCUUUUCCAAAACUUUCAAUGAUUUUUACUAAUUCCAAGACUUAUCCAGGCCUGGAAAAUAUGGAUGUCCACAUACUUUUGCCCAGAUAGUGAAGUUAUGAGUUUUUGACAUAUAAUGAUUUAUUUCCUGAGCCCACUAGAUGGCGCUCUUGGUUCAAAGAAAACAGCUCAAGGACAGACAGUCCAGUGUGCCUGUCACCCUUUGUUGAUCAGAGAGCGCCAUCUAGUGAGGUCAGAAGAUACAGACAAAGCUUCAUGAGGCUUCAUUUGGUCAUCACUACUUGUCGCCUACUUUACUUGAGUAUUUCCAUUUUCUGAUACUUUAUAGGCCACUUUUUACUCCACUACAUCUCAGAGGGAAAUAUUGGACUUUUUACUCCACUAUAUUUAUUUGAUAACUUCAGUUACUUUGUAGAUUAUUAAUACAAAAUACCAUCAACUAAUAAAUGAUAUUAUUAUAGAUUAAACUACGCAGCAGUUUAUAAAGUCAUUAAAAUGAGCUCCAUCUUUACCAGCUGCAACAUUAAAUGAUGAACACAUGAAUGCAUCAAUAAUUAUAAUCCAUAAUAUAAAUGGAGCAUUCUGCAUAAUGAGCACUUUAACUUUUGCUACUUUAAGUGUAUUUUGAUGCUGAUACUUUUGUACUUUUACUCUAGUAACAUUUUGAAUAAAGAACCAGUAAUGGAGUAUUUUUAUAGUGUGGAUAUACUAUUUUCACUUACAGUAAAAGAUGUGAAUACUGUGAGCACUGGAAAUAUGGAACAGUAUUCUGAUGAUUUAAUGCUAAAAUAUGGGUGCACCGUCAUGAAAACAAAAAAUAUAAAGUUCUUCCUUUUGGAUUGGAACGUCAAUUAAUGUUUAAGGAGCAUCAAAUUAUCUCCAUCUACUGGUGACUAAAAGUAACUACAACAACACUGUGUUUAAAACACACAAUAACAAUAAAGUACAACAGUUGACAAAAGUCCUUUUGUAUAAUUUAUUUGAAUCACCUCACUAUUAUACAGUAUACACACAAACACACACACACACACACACACACACACACACACACACACAGACUGAUGCUGCUACUUCAAUGUCUCUGGAUCAUCAGGACACAGCUGAUCCUCUCAUGGCCACCAUCUGAUGAGAGAAGAAGACAAGAGAAGUUAUAAAGCAGCUGUCAGUCAGUGAUGCAGCACAUCCAGUAUAAAGACCAGUAGGGACUUCCUGUUCAGAGCAGAGUGGAGCGGCUGUGUAGCGUAGUCGGCUUCCUUCCAGCUCUCAUGUUAACGUGUUGGAGUGAACACACUGAGCUGGAAGCUCACAGACCUGCAGAGACUUUGGGCAUCAAGUCUGUUUAUUCUGCAGAUUUCACUCAAGUACACAGUGUAAAUAAACUGCUGAGAGUCCUGAACGCAUCAUGGCUGCACAAACAGAGGGAUUCACUUUAAUGAUGGAUUUACUGAGUCUGUUAGAACAAAUGACUGAUGGACAGAUAUAUCAUGUUAAAUGUUCUACAUGUUCAUCCAAAGACUGAACAGCAACACAUCAGCUGUGAUUACUGGACUUCAGCAGAGCUUCUGCUCUGUAUAAAGAACACAUGGUUACUAAAUGUAAUGAUGGUUCUAUAAAAUAAGAGCCAGUGAUUUUUAGGCUUCAGUCAGACUGAUCUCAGAGCUGUGACAAAGAUGAAGACAACAAACACUUUAAAGAGGACAUAUUAUGCUCAUUAACAGCUUCAUAUUUGGAUUCUGGGUUUCUACUACAACCUGUUUACAUGCUUUAAUGUUCAAACUAGCAUUACCGCCUCAUAGUUGUAUGCCUUAUAAAGAAAUCUUAGCUUCAGUAGAAAAAGCCGUUGAACACAGGGUAUUCACAACAGUCUGAAGUCUGAGGUUUUUGUUCACAGGGAUUACUUUUACAUACAUUUACCUCAUUAUCUGAAACUUUGGCCACAUUUAAUACCAACAUCCUUCAUUGUAACACUAUAGGCUAUAUAAAACACACACACACACACACACACACACACACACACACACACACACACACA
Long non-coding RNA from Epinephelus fuscoguttatus (brown-marbled grouper), 2433 nucleotides. RefSeq lists it as uncharacterized. The transcript has 2 exons. NCBI's taxonomy places the organism in Eukaryota, Metazoa, Chordata, Actinopteri, Perciformes, Serranidae. The record is from RefSeq and is a predicted model, not a curated record.